GACGAACGCUGGCGGCGUGCUUAACACAUGCAAGUCGUACGGUAAGGCCCUUUCGGGGGUACCCGAGUGGCGAACGGGUGAGUAACACGUGAGUAACCUGCCCACAACUUUGGGAUAACGCUAGGAAACUGGUGCUAAUACUGGAUAUGUGCUCCUGCUGCAUGGUGGGGGUUGGAAAGCUCCGGCGGUUGUGGAUGGACUCGCGGCCUAUCAGCUUGGUGGUGGGGUAGUGGCCUACCAAGGCCGCGGAGGGUAGCCGGCCUGAGAGGGUGACCGGCCACAGUGGGACUGAGAUACGGCCCAGACUCCUACGGGGGGCAGCAGUGGGGAAUAUUGCAAAAUGGGCGCAAGCCUGAUGCAGCAACGCCGCGUGCGGGAUGACGGCCUUCGGGUUGUAAACCGCUUUCAGCAGGGACGAAGCUUUUUGUGACGGUACCUGCAGAAGAAGCACCGGCUAACUACGUG
RNAcentral lists this ribosomal RNA (465 nucleotides) under uncultured bacterium. RNAcentral's name for it is "partial 16S ribosomal RNA". It matches the Rfam family "Bacterial small subunit ribosomal RNA", at positions 28 to 507 of the family's 1533-position model. The record is from RNAcentral.